GGGAGCAAUCCCCGAGUAGAGCGGCGAACGGGUGAGUAACGCGUGGGUAAUCUGCCUCCGAGUGGGGAAUAACAGCGGGAAACUGCUGCUAAUACCGCAUGACAUCGUCGAGCCUUCGGGCCUGACGAUCAAAGCCGGGGACCGCAAGGCCUGGCGCUUGGAGAGGAGCCCGCGUCCGAUUAGCUAGUUGGCGGGGUAAUGGCCCACCAAGGCUCCGAUCGGUAGCCGGCCUGAGAGGGCGGACGGCCACACUGGGACUGAGACACGGCCCAGACUCCUACGGGAGGCAGCAGUGGGGAAUUUUUCGCAAUGGGGGAAACCCUGACGAAGCAACGCCGCGUGGAGGAUGAAGGCCUUCGGGUCGUAAACUCCUGUCGACCGGGACGAACGCUAUUGGGCCCAAUACGCCCGAUAGUCGACUGUACCGGUGGAGGAAGCCACGGCUAACUACGUGCCAGCAGCCGCGGUAAUACGUAGGUGGCAAGCGUUGUCCGGAUUUACUGGGCGUAAAGGAUGCGUAGGCGGACAUUUAAGUCAGAUGUGAAAUACCCGAGCUUAACUUGGGUGCUGCAUUUGAAACUGGGUGUCUAGAGUGCAGGAGAGGUAAGUGGAAUUCCUAGUGUAGCGGUGAAAUGCGUAGAGAUUAGGAAGAACACCAGUGGCGAAGGCGA
This 671-nucleotide ribosomal RNA is filed under the name uncultured soil bacterium. RNAcentral describes it as "bacterial SSU rRNA". It matches the Rfam family "Bacterial small subunit ribosomal RNA", at positions 75 to 724 of the family's 1533-position model. The record is from RNAcentral.